AGACUUGAGUGCAGAAGAGGAGAGUGGAAUUCCAUGUGUAGCGGUGAAAUGCGUAGAUAUAUGGAGGAACACCAGUGGCGAAGGCGGCUCUCUGGUCUGUAACUGACGCUGAGGCUCGAAAGCGUGGGGAGCGAACAGGAUUAGAUACCCUGGUAGUCCACGCCGUAAACGAUGAGUGCUAAGUGUUGGAGGGUUUCCGCCCUUCAGUGCUGCAGCAAACGCAUUAAGCACUCCGCCUGGGGAGUACGACCGCAAGGUUGAAACUCAAAGGAAUUGACGGGGGCCCGCACAAGCGGUGGAGCAUGUGGUUUAAUUCGAAGCAACGCGAAGAACCUUACCAGGUCUUGACAUCCUUUGACCACUCUAGAGAUAGAGCUUCCCCUUCGGGGGCAAAGUGACAGGUGGUGCAUGGUUGUCGUCAGCUCGUGUCGUGAGAUGUUGGGUUAAGUCCCGCAACGAGCGCAACCCUUAUUGUUAGUUGCCAUCAUUUAGUUGGGCACUCUAGCGAGACUGCCGGUGACAAACCGGAGGAAGGUGGGGAUGACGUCAAAUCAUCAUGCCCCUUAUGACCUGGGCUACACACGUGCUACAAUGGGAAGUACAACGAGUUGCGAAGUCGCGAGGCUAAGCUAAUCUCUUAAAGCUUCUCUCAGUUCGGAUUGUAGGCUGCAACUCGCCUACAUGAAGCCGGAAUCGCUAGUAAUCGCGGAUCAGCACGCCGCGGUGAAUACGUUCCCGGGCCUUGUACACACCGCCCGUCACACCACGAGAGUUUGUAACACCCGAAGUCGGUGAGGUAACCUU
RNAcentral lists this ribosomal RNA (804 nucleotides) under Enterococcus faecium. Its description in RNAcentral is "bacterial SSU rRNA". It matches the Rfam family "Bacterial small subunit ribosomal RNA", at positions 638 to 1442 of the family's 1533-position model. Lineage: Bacteria; Bacillati; Bacillota; Bacilli; Lactobacillales; Enterococcaceae. The record is from RNAcentral.